Molecule: transfer RNA, 66 nt
Filed under: China mantispoides
Lineage: Eukaryota; Metazoa; Arthropoda; Insecta; Orthoptera; Chorotypidae
Description: tRNA-Asn
Source: RNAcentral
UUAAUUGAAGCCAAAAUAGAGGCCUAUUAUUGUUAAUAAUAAAAAUGAAGUUAAAUUCCAAUUAAG